UAGGGAAUCUUCCGCAAUGGACGAAAGUCUGACGGAGCAACGCCGCGUGAGUGAAGAAGGCUUUCGGUUCGUAAAACUCUGUUGUUAGGGAAGAAAAAAUGUAUAGUAACUAUAUACAAAAGAGACGGUACCUAACCAGAAAGCCACGGCUAACUACGUGCCAGCAGCCGCGGUAAUACGUAGGUGGCAAGCGUUGUCCGGAAUUAUUGGGCGUAAAGCGCGCGCAGGUGGUUUAGAAAGUCUGAUGUGAAAGCCCACGGCUCAACCGUGGAGGGUCAUUGGAAACUAAUAAACUUGAGUGCAGGAGAGAAAAGUGGAAUUCCUAGUGUAGCGGUGAAAUGCGUAGAGAUUAGGAGGAACACCGGUGGCGAAAGCGGCUUUUUGGCCUGCAACUGACACUGAGGCGCGAAAGCGUGGGGAGCGAACAGG
This 429-nucleotide ribosomal RNA is filed under the name Verrucomicrobiota bacterium. Its description in RNAcentral is "Verrucomicrobia bacterium partial 16S ribosomal RNA". It matches the Rfam family "Bacterial small subunit ribosomal RNA", at positions 355 to 776 of the family's 1533-position model. Lineage: Bacteria; Pseudomonadati; Verrucomicrobiota. The record is from RNAcentral.